Molecule: long non-coding RNA, 634 nt
Organism: Benincasa hispida (wax gourd)
Lineage: Eukaryota; Viridiplantae; Streptophyta; Magnoliopsida; Cucurbitales; Cucurbitaceae
Source: RefSeq, a predicted model, not a curated record
ACACUCCGGCGCCGCUCAGAUCCGAGCUUCGACCUUCCACGCCGACCGCGCCCCAGUCCUCUGCCACCGGCUGCCUCCAGUCACGCCGAUCUAGCGCCGCCCAGCCCUGUUUGUCGCCGAAAUCUGCCUGCAUCACUGGACUUUUGUUUUGAUUAAGGGAUUGAUUAAUUUUGGGCAAGACUUUGAUUUGUCUUUGACGGUUUGAUUACCCAUUUGGUAUUGGGUUAAAUUUGUUAUCUCUUUAUUUUUGGAAUUUAGAUCCAAGAUUGGAGUGCUUCAGAGUGCACAGCGGGCUGAUCAACGGAUUCGAGUUCAAGUAUUUUGGUAAAGGUAGAGAUGUACCGGCGAUGGACAAGCGAAAUUCGUGAUCCCACUGGGACCAAUUUUAUAUUUCCGCUCAUGAGACUUACCUUUCAUGUUGUUGUUUCAGGUAAAGGUAGAGAUGUACCGGCGAUGGACAACGGAAUUCGUGAUCCCACUGGGACCAAUUUUAUACUUCCGCUCAUGAGACUUAGAUUUCCUUUCAUGUUUUGCUUAACUUUUAGUUUUGAUAUUUCAAACCUACAAUUAAGAAUUGUUUUCAGACUCAUUUAUUAACAAUUAUGAUUUAUGGAUACCCUAUUGUUGUUUUUAA